This 1123-nucleotide long non-coding RNA is filed under the name Homo sapiens (human). RNAcentral describes it as "synapse stability regulating cerebellar lncRNA". Lineage: Eukaryota; Metazoa; Chordata; Mammalia; Primates; Hominidae. The record is from RNAcentral.
GUGCUAAUCGUAAUCAUCAUAUUCACCACUGCUGAGCAGAACAGUCAGGGUGCUGCCCUCAGGGAGUUACCAUGUAGUAAAGGAGACAGAUGGAAUCACACAGAGGAAUGCACGUCUGAUUGUAGCCUGACUGGAGUGCCAUGAAGGAGACCAAGAGGGCAGGGUGAUGGAGAAAGCACAGGAUGAAGUUCUCGUCUUCCUUCCAACAGAAUCUCAGUUGCACUCAGUUGUUGCCCCCCUCGAACCUCCCUUGAGCCUCAGGAGAAACCACCCUGAUUCAGAGGUCCAGAGAAGACCUGACUAGCCCAAGGGUGUCACCGUGUCUGGAUGCGAUGCCUGGAAGUGCUACAGCCACUCGCGCCCAGCCUGAAGAUGAAACCAACCCCAAACACAGCCAAGCAGAGAGAUGGAAAGAACUAGGACCCUAAUUACACCACUGAGCAGCUAUAGCAACCAGUUCCAGAGCCCUCUGACUUCCCGCCAAAGUGAGAUGAUAAGAUACUGUUUAAUUUCUCUCUUUUAUAGCCAAACACACCAAAAUUGACACAGAGAUGUGAGCCAUACCUACUACUGUUACUGCUCCAUCCCUAGCUCCAACCACAGUGCAUGGUACAUGGUAGAGAGCCAACAAACACUUGAAGAAUGAAUGGUGCAUAUUGAGUGGGAUUUUCCAGAGGCAGACCUGGAGACAAGGCUUCAAGUGCGUGUGUUGUAUUAAGGAAAUGCUCCCAGGGGACAAUAGCAGAGUGGCAGAAAUGGGACAAGGGGGCCAGGGAGCCAAGAACAGAGAAUCAAUCGUCUAAACAGAGCCCCCUGUUUUUUGUUUCACCUGGGAGUAGCUUCUACCUGAUCCCCAGGGGAACUCUGGGAUGUCAGUGACGGCUCAGCAUUGCCCCUGAGGCAAGGGAGCUGGGCUUUCCUAAUCCCCCACUCCUCAGUCUCUGGCUAAGCGCUGUCCCCAGGGGACUUAAUCACCCAAACACUUCCCCAAGAGUGGCAUCUGCUGACCACUGGAGGCACUGGUACAGUGAAGCGACAGAAGGGAUCAGAGAGGGUCCAGGUGGAGCACAGCAAUGUGGCUGAAUAAUAACUAUAUUAAUUCAUAUAGUUAAUUCUCAAGCAA